RNAcentral lists this ribosomal RNA (620 nucleotides) under uncultured Desulfobacca sp. Its description in RNAcentral is "bacterial SSU rRNA". It matches the Rfam family "Bacterial small subunit ribosomal RNA", at positions 78 to 676 of the family's 1533-position model. Lineage: Bacteria; Pseudomonadati; Thermodesulfobacteriota; Desulfobaccia; Desulfobaccales; Desulfobaccaceae. The record is from RNAcentral.
UUCGGGGGGCAAGUAAAGUGGCGCACGGGUGAGUAACGCGUGGAUAAUCUACCUCGUUCUGGGGGAUAACCCAUCGAAAGGUGGGCUAAUACCGCAUAAUCCGGCUAAAUUUUGGUUUGGUCGGCAAAGGUGGCCUCUUCAUGAAAGCUACCGGGAAGAGAUGAGUCCGCGUCCCAUUAGCUUGUUGGUAGGGUAACGGCCUACCAAGGCGACGAUGGGUAGCUGGUCUGAGAGGACGAUCAGCCACACUGGAACUGGUACACGGUCCAGACUCCUACGGGAGGCAGCAGUGAGGAAUAUUGCGCAAUGGGGGAAACCCUGACGCAGCGAUGCCGCGUGAGUGAAGAAGGCCUUCGGGUCGUAAAGCUCUGUCAAGUGGGAAGAAUAGCGGCGGGACGAAUAAUCCCGUCGUGUGACGGUACCACUGAAGGAAGCACCGGCUAACUCCGUGCCAGCAGCCGCGGUAAGACGGAGGGUGCAAGCGUUAUUCGGAUUUAUUGGGCGUAAAGAGCGUGUAGGCGGCCGGUCAAGCCAGAUGUGAAAGCCCAGGGCUUAACCCUGGAAGUGCAUUUGGAACUGGUUGGCUUGAGUUCGGGAGAGGGAAGUGGAAUUCCGGGUGU